This 429-nucleotide ribosomal RNA is filed under the name uncultured archaeon. RNAcentral's name for it is "bacterial SSU rRNA". It matches the Rfam family "Archaeal small subunit ribosomal RNA", at positions 474 to 903 of the family's 1478-position model. The record is from RNAcentral.
UACCAGCUCUCCGAGUGGUAGGGAUGAUUAUUGGGCUUAAAGCGUCCGUAGCCGGCUUAGCAAGUUUCCUGUUAAAUUCAGCGACCUAAUCGUUGAGCCGCGGGAAAUACUACUAGGCUAGGAGGCGGGAGAGGUCGACGGUACUUCUGGGGUAGGGGUGAAAUCCUAUAAUCCCGGGAGGACCACCAGUGGCGAAGGCUGUCGACUGGAACGCGCUCGACGGUGAGGGACGAAAGCUGGGGGAGCGAACCGGAUUAGAUACCCGGGUAGUCCCAGCUGUAAACGAUGCGGGCUAGGUGUUGGGGUGGCUACGUGCCACUUCAGUGCCGCAGGGAAGCCAUUAAGCCCGCCGCCUGGGGAGUACGGCCGCAAGGCUGAAACUUAAAGGAAUUGGCGGGGGAGCACCACAAGGCGUGAAGCUUGCGGUUC